RNAcentral lists this non-coding RNA (102 nucleotides) under Pteridomonas danica. The record is from RNAcentral. Lineage: Eukaryota; Dictyochophyceae; Pedinellales.
CUUCGUCGUCAUCUUCAUCUUCGUCUUCUUCGUCAUCUUCUUCUUCGUUGUCGGUGCCUCCUAUAUUUCCCAUUUGUGAUUUUGAUAAUGAUGAAGAAGAAG